UACGUAGGAUGCAAGCGUUGUCCGGAAUUAUUGGGCGUAAAGAGCGCGCAGGCGGUCUAUCAAGUCAGAUGUGAAAUAGCCCGGCUUAACCGGGCGGGGUCAUUUGAAACUGGUAGAGUAGAGUACAGCAGAGGAUAGCGGAAUUCCCGGUGUAGUGGUGAAAUGCGUAGAUAUCGGGAGGAACACCAGUGGCGAAGGCGGCUAUCUGGGCUGAAACUGACGCUGAGGCGCGAAGGCUAGGGGAGCAAACAGG
Molecule: ribosomal RNA, 253 nt
Filed under: uncultured bacterium
Lineage: Bacteria
Description: partial 16S ribosomal RNA
Rfam family: Bacterial small subunit ribosomal RNA
Source: RNAcentral